This 763-nucleotide ribosomal RNA is filed under the name uncultured bacterium. RNAcentral describes it as "bacterial SSU rRNA". It matches the Rfam family "Bacterial small subunit ribosomal RNA", at positions 61 to 824 of the family's 1533-position model. The record is from RNAcentral.
GUCGAACGGCAACCGGCAGCAAUGCUGGUGAGAGUGGCGGACGGGCGCUUAACGCGUAUGCAACCUACCUUGCGGCGGGGGAUAGCCUGGAGAAAUCCAGAUUAAUACCCCAUGAGACCACGCCCCGGCAUCGGGGAGGGGUCAAAGAUUUAUCACCGCAAGAUGGGCAUGCGUGACAUUAGCUAGUUGGCGGGGUAACGGCCCACCAAGGCUACGAUGUCUAGCUGGUCUGAGAGGAUGAUCAGCCACACUGGGACUGAGACACGGCCCAGACUCCUACGGGAGGCAGCAGUAGGGAAUAUUGGACAAUGGGCGAAAGCCUGAUCCAGCCAUGCCGCGUGAAGGAUGAAGGGCCUCUGGCUUGUAAACUUCUUUUGGCGGGGGAUAAACCACCACUACAAGUGGUGCUGAAGGUACCCGCAGAAUAAGCACCGGCUAACUCCGUGCCAGCAGCCGCGGUAAUACGGAGGGUGCAAGCGUUGUCCGGAUUCAUUGGGUUUAAAGGGUGCGUAGGCGGUACGCUAAGUCAGUGGUGAAAUCCUGGGGCUCAACCCCUGAAUUGCCAUAGAUACUGGCGUGCUUGAGUUCGACCGAGGCGGUUGGAAUGCGUGGUGUAGCGGUGAAAUGCUUAGAUAUCACGCGGAACACCGAUUGCGAAGGCAGAUCGCUAGGUCGCGACUGACGCUGAGGCACGAAAGUGCGGGGAUCAAACAGGAUUAGAUACCCUGGUAGUCCGCACCGUAAACGAUGGAUACUAGGUGUC